This 253-nucleotide ribosomal RNA is filed under the name uncultured bacterium. Its description in RNAcentral is "partial 16S ribosomal RNA". It matches the Rfam family "Bacterial small subunit ribosomal RNA", at positions 524 to 776 of the family's 1533-position model. The record is from RNAcentral.
UACGUAGGGGGCUAGCGUUGCUCGGAAUUACUGGGCGUAAAGCGCACGUAGGCGGCUUUCUAAGUCGGGGGUGAAAUCCUGGAGCUCAACUCCAGAACUGCCUUCGAUACUGGAGAGCUCGAGUCCGGGAGAGGCGAGUGGAACUGCGAGUGUAGAGGUGAAAUUCGUAGAUAUUCGCAAGAACACCAGUGGCGAAGGCGGCUCACUGGCCCGGUACUGACGCUGAGGUGCGAAAGCGUGGGGAGCAAACAGG